This 365-nucleotide unclassified non-coding RNA is filed under the name Mycolicibacterium fortuitum. Its description in RNAcentral is "partial 16S-23S ribosomal RNA intergenic spacer". The record is from RNAcentral. Lineage: Bacteria; Bacillati; Actinomycetota; Actinomycetes; Mycobacteriales; Mycobacteriaceae.
AGGAGCACCACGGAAAAGGGUUGAGACACUGGGUCUUACCCGAGCCGUGAGGAACCGGUUGCCUGUAGUGGGCACGGUUUGGUGCACAACAAACGUUUUGCCCCAAGGGAUUUUGCGGUGAUGGGACUGCCAGACACACUAUUGGGCUUUUUUUGAACAGGCCCGUGCCCCUUUUUGGGGGGGUGUCCUCCGGUUGGGGGUGGCCGCGUGUUGUUGCCUCCCUUUGGGGGUGGGGUGGGGUGUUUUAUUUGUGGAUUGUGGUUGCCACCAUCUAACCCCCCGUGGGGGCGGGGGCCCUCCGGGGUGUGGCUCUUUUUUUGUUUUUGUGGUCAAUUUUUUUUUGAAACUUCUUUUUGGUUUUUUUG